RNAcentral lists this ribosomal RNA (127 nucleotides) under Dialister invisus. RNAcentral's name for it is "partial 23S ribosomal RNA". It matches the Rfam family "Bacterial large subunit ribosomal RNA", at positions 1 to 120 of the family's 2925-position model. Lineage: Bacteria; Bacillati; Bacillota; Negativicutes; Veillonellales; Veillonellaceae. The record is from RNAcentral.
GUUGUAUAGUUAAGUGACUAAGCGUACAAGGUGGAUGCCUUGGCAAUCAGAGGCGAGGAAGGACGUGCUAAUCUGCGAAAAGCUUGGAUGAGUCGAUAAGAGGCGUUUAAUCCAAGAUGUCCGAAUG